RNAcentral lists this transfer RNA (74 nucleotides) under Candidatus Microgenomates bacterium. Its description in RNAcentral is "tRNA-Glu". It matches the Rfam family "tRNA". From Rfam's summary of the family: Transfer RNA (tRNA) molecules are approximately 80 nucleotides in length. Their secondary structure includes four short double-helical elements and three loops (D, anti-codon, and T loops). Lineage: Bacteria; Candidatus Microgenomatota. The record is from RNAcentral.
GCCGCGUUCGUCUAGUGGCCCAGGACAUCGGGUUCUCAUCCCGAAAAUCAGGGGUUCAAAUCCCCUACGCGGUA